Long non-coding RNA from Lagopus muta (rock ptarmigan), 807 nucleotides. RefSeq lists it as uncharacterized. The record is from RefSeq and is a predicted model, not a curated record. The transcript is spliced from 5 exons. Lineage: Eukaryota; Metazoa; Chordata; Aves; Galliformes; Phasianidae.
CAACGGGAGAGACAGCUGGAGUAUCUAAACCAAGAGCUUUGAUCUUAGUAUCUGUAAAAAAGAGGUCAUUUGGUCUCCCAGGAAGCAGAGACAUUUAGAAGGUCCCUGUACAACUCAUGCAAGUAUUUUAUUAACGACAAUUUUUAUUCAAAUGUAGUGCUCUGGACCACUCUGUCUGGAUUUUGUCUGAUGUCAUUUUAAGCUUGACCAGUAGAAGGAAGAUUGGACAAGGAGAUACUGAGAAGGAGGGCAAAAUCAUCAGUUCCCUACAGGAGCUUCAGAUCUUCGAGCUCACGGGGAAAACUACCCUCACCCACCCUGCAGGAGGAGCACAAUGGCACCCUCUGUUGCCCUGCAUGCUGCUCCCAUGUGGAUGUAUGAACUCCCAAAGGUGAAUGUUGUUGAAGCAAGAGCAGGACCUGAGCCUGUUUCCAUUGCCCGAUUGAUAACCGGUUGGGAACUUGACCUCCAAGAUUGUAACUGAAGGUGGACUUGAGAUCUCCCCAGUGGAAGAUACUUAACACAUUUCCCUUUCUUUUUACAUCCAUCUGACAUGUUUUUGGCUAACUUCUGAGCUACCUUGCAUGUAAAACCUUGAACCACAAUUGUAAACUCUCUACUUUCCUUUAUUCGUACAGUAUUUGAUUUGGAUGACAUGUUUUUUAUAAUAUUUAUUUUCUGGACCAUUUUGCGACUCAUGUGUUAAUGCCACAAGAACUUCACUCCUUGUAUAAUAUUUCAGACAUGGAGGGGAAAAAAAUGAAGUAAAAAAAAAGAAAAAAAAGAAGAAAAAAAAAGCAAAACCAA